Molecule: ribosomal RNA, 253 nt
Filed under: uncultured bacterium
Lineage: Bacteria
Description: partial 16S ribosomal RNA
Rfam family: Bacterial small subunit ribosomal RNA
Source: RNAcentral
UACGUAGGGUGCAAGCGUUGUCCGGAAUUAUUGGGCGUAAAGAGCUCGUAGGCGGUCUGUCGCGUCGGAUGUGAAAAUCCAGGGCUCAACCCUGGACCUGCAUUCGAUACGGGCAGACUAGAGGUAUGCAGGGGAGAACGGAAUUCCUGGUGUAGCGGUGAAAUGCGCAGAUAUCGGGAGGAACACCUAUGGCGAAGGCAGCUCGCUGGGACGUUACUGACGCUGAGACGCGAAAGCGUGGGGAGCGAACAGG